Molecule: transfer RNA, 90 nt
Filed under: Erysipelothrix sp.
Lineage: Bacteria; Bacillati; Bacillota; Erysipelotrichia; Erysipelotrichales; Erysipelotrichaceae
Also listed under: 3 other names
Description: tRNA-Ser
Rfam family: tRNA
About the family: Transfer RNA (tRNA) molecules are approximately 80 nucleotides in length. Their secondary structure includes four short double-helical elements and three loops (D, anti-codon, and T loops). Further hydrogen bonds mediate the characteristic L-shaped molecular structure. tRNAs have two regions of fundamental functional importance: the anti-codon, which is responsible for specific mRNA codon recognition, and the 3' end, to which the tRNAs corresponding amino acid is attached (by aminoacyl-tRNA synthetases). tRNAs cope with the degeneracy of the genetic code in two manners: having more than one tRNA (with a specific anti-codon) for a particular amino acid; and 'wobble' base-pairing, i.e. permitting non-standard base-pairing at the 3rd anti-codon position.
Source: RNAcentral
GGAGGAAUACCCAAGUGGUUGAAGGGACCGGUUUCGAAAACCGGCAGGGGUCACAAGCCCGCGCGGGUUCAAAUCCUGCUUCCUCCGCCA